This 809-nucleotide ribosomal RNA is filed under the name uncultured bacterium. RNAcentral describes it as "bacterial SSU rRNA". It matches the Rfam family "Bacterial small subunit ribosomal RNA", at positions 8 to 813 of the family's 1533-position model. The record is from RNAcentral.
AGAGUUUGAUCCUGGCUCAGGAUGAACGCUGGCGGCGUGCCUAACACAUGCAAGUCGAACGGAACUUUAACGGAACAAGGCUUCGGCCAAGUGAAAUUAAAGUUUAGUGGCGGACGGGUGAGUAACGCGUGAGUAACCUGCCUUUCACAGGGGGAUAACGUUUGGAAACGAACGCUAAUACCGCAUAACACAGCAGAGUCGCAUGGCUCAGCUAUCAAAGAUUUUAUCGGUGAAAGAUGGACUCGCGUCCGAUUAGGUAGUUGGUGAGGUAACGGCUCACCAAGCCGACGAUCGGUAGCCGGACUGAGAGGUUGAACGGCCACAUUGGGACUGAGACACGGCCCAGACUCCUACGGGAGGCAGCAGUGGGGAAUAUUGCACAAUGGGCGCAAGCCUGAUGCAGCAACGCCGCGUGAGGGAAGACGGUUUUCGGAUUGUAAACCUCUGUCUUUGGUGACGAAGAAGUGACGGUAGCCAAGGAGGAAGCCACGGCUAACUACGUGCCAGCAGCCGCGGUAAUACGUAGGUGGCAAGCGUUAUCCGGAAUUACUGGGUGUAAAGGGAGCGCAGGCGGGAUAGCAAGUCAGCGGUGAAAUGCAUGGGCUUAACUCAUGAGCUGCCGUUGAAACUGUUAUUCUUGAGUGGAGUAGAGGCAGGCGGAAUUCCGAGUGUAGCGGUGAAAUGCGUAGAUAUUCGGAGGAACACCAGUGGCGAAGGCGGCCUGCUGGGCUCUAACUGACGCUGAGGCUCGAAAGUGUGGGGAGCAAACAGGAUUAGAUACCCUGGUAGUCCACACUGUAAACGAUGAU